RNAcentral lists this ribosomal RNA (1016 nucleotides) under uncultured bacterium. RNAcentral's name for it is "bacterial SSU rRNA". It matches the Rfam family "Bacterial small subunit ribosomal RNA", at positions 357 to 1376 of the family's 1533-position model. The record is from RNAcentral.
AGGAAUAUUGGUCAAUGGGCGAGAGCCUGAACCAGCCAAGUAGCGUGAAGGAUGACUGCCCUAUGGGUUGUAAACUUCUUUUAUAAAGGAAUAAAGUCGGGUAUGGAUACCCGUUUGCAUGUACUUUAUGAAUAAGGAUCGGCUAACUCCGUGCCAGCAGCCGCGGUAAUACGGAGGAUCCGAGCGUUAUCCGGAUUUAUUGGGUUUAAAGGGAGCGUAGAUGGAUAUUUAAGUCAGUUGUGAAAGUUUGCGGCUCAACCGUAAAAUUGCAGUUGAUACUGGAUAUCUUGAGUGCAGUUGAGGCAGGCGGAAUUCGUGGUGUAGCGGUGAAAUGCUUAGAUAUCACGAAGAACUCCGAUUGCGAAGGCAGCCUGCUAAGCUGCAACUGACAUUGAGGCUCGAAAGUGUGGGUAUCAAACAGGAUUAGAUACCCUGGUAGUCCACACGGUAAACGGUGAAUACUCGCUGUUUGCGAUAUACUGCAAGCGGCCAAGCGAAAGCGUUAAGUAUUCCACCUGGGGAGUACGCCGGCAACGGUGAAACUCAAAGGAAUUGACGGGGGCCCGCACAAGCGGAGGAACAUGUGGUUUAAUUCGAUGAUACGCGAGGAACCUUACCCGGGCUUAAAUUGCAGAUGAAUUACGGUGAAAGCCGUAAGCCGCAAGGCAUCUGUGAAGGUGCUGCAUGGUUGUCGUCAGCUCGUGCCGUGAGGUGUCGGCUUAAGUGCCAUAACGAGCGCAACCCUUGUUGUCAGUUACUAACAGGUUUUGCUGAGGACUCUGACAAGACUGCCAUCGUAAGAUGUGAGGAAGGUGGGGAUGACGUCAAAUCAGCACGGCCCUUACGUCCGGGGCUACACACGUGUUACAAUGGGGGGUACAGAGGGCCGCUACCACGCGAGUGGAUGCCAAUCCCCAAAACCUCUCUCAGUUCGGACUGGAGUCUGCAACCCGACUCCACGAAGCUGGAUUCGCUAGUAAUCGCGCAUCAGCCACGGCGCGGUGAAUACGUUCCCG